UACAGAGACUGCAAGCGUUAUUCGGAUUCACUGGGCGUAAAGGGUGCGUAGGUGGCUUGAAAAGUUUGAUGUGAAAGCUCAGGGCUUAACCCUGAAAUGGCAUUGAAUACUGUCGAGCUGGAGGUUUGGAGGGGGGACUGGAAUUCUUGGUGUAGCAGUGAAAUGCGUAGAUAUCAAGAGGAACACCAGUGGCGAAGGCGAGUCCCUGGACAACACCUGACACUGAGGCACGAAAGCUAGGGGAGCAAACAGG
This 253-nucleotide ribosomal RNA is filed under the name uncultured bacterium. Its description in RNAcentral is "partial 16S ribosomal RNA". It matches the Rfam family "Bacterial small subunit ribosomal RNA", at positions 524 to 776 of the family's 1533-position model. The record is from RNAcentral.